This 253-nucleotide ribosomal RNA is filed under the name uncultured bacterium. Its description in RNAcentral is "partial 16S ribosomal RNA". It matches the Rfam family "Bacterial small subunit ribosomal RNA", at positions 524 to 776 of the family's 1533-position model. The record is from RNAcentral. RNAcentral also lists the same sequence under 1 other name.
UACGUAGGUGGCGAACGUUAUCCGGAAUUACUGGGCGUAAAGGGUCCGCAGGCGGGUCACCAAGUCCGGCGUGAAAGCUCCCGGCUCAACUGGGAGAGGGCGUUGGAAACUGGUGGUCUUGAAUCUCAGAGAGGUCGGUGGAAUUCCCGGUGUAGUGGUGGAAUGCGUAGAGAUCGGGAGGAACCUCGAAAGCGAAGGCAACCGGCUGGCUGAAGAUUGACGCUGAGGGACGAAAGCGUGGGGAGCGAACAGG